GGGAGCUGCCCCCGCCCCCGAGCCGCGAGCCCCGCGCCGGGCCGGGGAGUCCCCGGCGCCACACGCCCCCACCACCCCCAUCUUAGCGCCCCCCACCCUCUAUGGAGACAUUUCAACCAGGGAGAAGGGAGGUCCUGCCCUUGCCCCUCGCCCCCGCCCCCCUCCUCCAACAGGGGAGACUUCUGUCCAAACCUUGGAAGGAAACGAGAUGCCAGGCCUAGCGCCUUCGGGGAUCCUCUCUGGACAAGGCCACAGGGUGAAAACACCAGCACUUCCUGGAGGCGUUUGACCGGGACCUGGGAGGGCAGCUGGGAAGUGCCUGACCAUUCUCAAGGAGCUGCGUGGAUUCCAGACAUCUCUGGGCUGGUCUCUGGACCGGGAUGGGGGACCCAGAGGUGGAGCCGAACACACAAACAGCACUUGAGGGCUCCGAGGGUGGUGAGGAGAGAAGCUCCUGCUCUGGUACAGCACUGAAGCUAAGAAGUGCUGGAGACAGCAGUUGCUUUAGCCACAGGCUGUGUAGACCACCUGAGGAUGAUCUGGAGGUCUGUUUUGUGCACCUUGGAACCCAUCGGAUCCCUCCAAUGACACAUUUGUCCAGAGCAAGACAAGAUCACACUUUGACAGCCGUCUGUCAAGAUCCUUGCUCCAAAUAUCCAGACUAGCAGCUAGGAGUCUCCAUGCUGUUCUGAAGAAGCAGAUUCCUCACCCACCCUUCAACUCCUUCCCAGGAGGUAAUCCUCCUCCAAAUCUCUGGAAAAGAUACACCUCCUCUUCUCUGAUAAAGGCUAGGGGGUGAUGCCCCUCCCCCAGGUUCCCAAUAAAGCUAUGCAAGACAGGGGCAAGGGAUCUCACGGCCUGUUUUUGCUACAAAAACCCUUUUUCGGAAAAAAUAAUAAAGAAAGGAAUCAGCCAAUCCCUCCUCGAUGCCA
This 932-nucleotide long non-coding RNA is filed under the name Pongo abelii (Sumatran orangutan). RNAcentral describes it as "lincRNA". Lineage: Eukaryota; Metazoa; Chordata; Mammalia; Primates; Hominidae. The record is from RNAcentral.